This is a long non-coding RNA of Stylophora pistillata, 815 nucleotides long. RefSeq lists it as uncharacterized. The record is from RefSeq and is a predicted model, not a curated record. NCBI's taxonomy places the organism in Eukaryota, Metazoa, Cnidaria, Anthozoa, Scleractinia, Pocilloporidae.
UCGAGUGAAUUUGUAUUUGUCUUGGGAUUGCACCUUUCUCUUACCCCUUGUUGUAGGUCAAGUGCUACACUGAAAAAUUUUGUCGGCCUCAGAGUGAUGGAAAUCAAAUGCAACGCAUAAGGGCAACGAGUAGAAAAACCAAAUCUUGAGACAUCGAAUUUCAAGCAGGCAGAACAGAAGCCGAAAGACCAAUGGCUGAAACACUGGGUAAAGAGGAUAUCAAAGAGCAAAAACGGCAGAUAACUCUCCCAACCGAACUGGUGGACCUCAGUAAGGAUGCAAGACUUGUGGUACUGACGAAAAUGCGGUGUUUUGGUCUGAAGGACUCCAAACGAUAUUUGUUUUUGCCGACACCGGCGUAGGACACGUAAACGACUCAAGAUUUUAAAAGUUUUAAACUUGAAUUAUAAAUUUCAUUAGAGGUGUAAAUCUAAACUGUUAUCGCAUGCGUUUUCGUCAAGAUGAUGUUAUUGUAAGCUAUUUAUAGAAUUUUAGCCUGUUUGCUAAGCUCGUAUGAGAUAAAUCCGUGGAAGGGCUACGUUUGUAAAGGGGGCGUUCUGAUACUCUACGACCGGAAAGAGUACGAAAGUUAUCUGGACCGCAUAGCCUUGUUGAUUUAUUUGGUUGACAUCUUCACAGUUGAGAUGAAAAAGAAGAACUGCAGAGAGCGAAUUAAACUAAAACAGAUGUGAGCCUGUAAAAGAAAUAAAUCACCAACAGCCGCCAUUGAUAUAUAUGUCAUUAGCUGCAAGAGGGCAAAAUGCCAGAGCUAGCAGACAAGGCUAUUAAAAUAGAAUUACGAAAAACGUGAUGUU